GCGGGGAUAACUCAGUUGGGAGAGCGUAAGACUGGAGAUUUGAAAGUCGCGUGUUCGAUCCACGCUCACCGCA
Non-coding RNA from Picea glauca (white spruce), 73 nucleotides. The record is from Rfam. NCBI's taxonomy places the organism in Eukaryota, Viridiplantae, Streptophyta, Pinopsida, Pinales, Pinaceae.